AGUGAACGCUGGCGGUAGGCCUAACACAUGCAAGUCGAACGGCAGCACAGUAAGAGCUUGCUCUUACGGGUGGCGAGUGGCGGACGGGUGAGGAAUACAUCGGAAUCUACUUUUUCGUGGGGGAUAACGUAGGGAAACAUACGCUAAUACCGCAUACGACCUACGGGUGAAAGCAGGAGAUAUUCGGACCUUGCGCGAUUGAAUGAGCCGAUGUCGGAUUAGCUAGUUGGCGGGGUAAAGGCCCACCAAGGCGACGAUCCGUAGCUGGUCUGAGAGGAGGAUCAGCCACACUGGAACUGAGACACGGUCCAGACUCCUACGGGAGGCAGCAGUGGGGAAUAUUGGACAAUGGGCGCAAGCCUGAUCCAGCCAUACCGCGUGGGUGAAGAAGGCCUUCGGGUUGUAAAGCCCUUUUGUUGGGAAAGAAAAGCAGCAGGUUAAUACCCCGCUGUUCUGUCGGUACCCAAAGAAUAAGCACCGGCUAACUUCGUG
Molecule: ribosomal RNA, 492 nt
Filed under: uncultured bacterium
Lineage: Bacteria
Description: partial 16S ribosomal RNA
Rfam family: Bacterial small subunit ribosomal RNA
Source: RNAcentral